This 409-nucleotide ribosomal RNA is filed under the name Weissella confusa. Its description in RNAcentral is "bacterial SSU rRNA". It matches the Rfam family "Bacterial small subunit ribosomal RNA", at positions 1 to 369 of the family's 1533-position model. The record is from RNAcentral. Lineage: Bacteria; Bacillati; Bacillota; Bacilli; Lactobacillales; Lactobacillaceae.
UUCAAAUUGAGAGUUUGAUCCUGGCUCAGGAUGAACGCUGGCGGCGUGCCUAAUACAUGCAAGUCGAACGCUUUGUGGUUCAACUGAUUUGAAGAGCUUGCUCAGAUAUGACGAUGGACAUUGCAAAGAGUGGCGAACGGGUGAGUAACACGUGGGAAACCUACCUCUUAGCAGGGGAUAACAUUUGGAAACAGAUGCUAAUACCGUAUAACAAUGACAACCGCAUGGUUGUUAUUUAAAAGAUGGUUCUGCUAUCACUAAGAGAUGGUCCCGCGGUGCAUUAGCUAGUUGGUAAGGUAAUGGCUUACCAAGGCGAUGAUGCAUAGCCGAGUUGAGAGACUGAUCGGCCACAAUGGGACUGAGACACGGCCCAUACUCCUACGGGAGGCAGCAGUAGGGAAUCUUCCAC